This 468-nucleotide ribosomal RNA is filed under the name uncultured bacterium. RNAcentral describes it as "partial 16S ribosomal RNA". It matches the Rfam family "Bacterial small subunit ribosomal RNA", at positions 28 to 507 of the family's 1533-position model. The record is from RNAcentral.
GACGAACGCUGGCGGCGUGCUUAACACAUGCAAGUCGAACGGAAAGGCCCUGCUUUCGUGGGGUGCUCGAGUGGCGAACGGGUGAGUAACACGUGAGUCUCCUGCCCUUGACUUUGGGAUAACCUCAGGCAACUGGGGCUACUGCAUGAUAGGUGCUCCUGCUGCCAGGUGGGGGUCGGAACGUUUCGGCGGAUGGGGAUGGACUCGCGGGUUAUCAGCUUGUUGGUGGGGUAGUCGCUUACCCAGGCUUUGACGGGUAGUCGGCCUGAGAGGGUGACCGGCCACAUUGGGACUGAGAUACGGCCCAGACUCCUACGGGAGGCAGCAGUGGGGAAUAUUGCACAAUGGGCGGAAGUCUGAUGCAGCAACGCCGCGUGCGGGAUGACGGCCUUCGGGUUGUAAACCGCUGUCGCCUGUGACGAAGCGGGAGUGACGGUAAUGGGUAAAGAAGCACCGGCUAACUACGUG